CGCACAUUGCGCCCUUUGGUAUUCCGAGGGGCAUGCCCGUUCGAGCGUCAUUACACCACUCAAGCCUGGCUUGGUAUUGGGCGGCGGGACACCCCCGCGCCCCCAUUUCUGAUCGGCUGGACGGUUUGAAUCUCAGCGUUGUGGUUAAUCAGUUCGCUGUGGGGAUCACCGGACGCGCCGUUAAAUUUUACUCAAGGUUGACCUCGGAUCGGGUAGGGAUACCCGCUGAACUUAA
Molecule: unclassified non-coding RNA, 235 nt
Filed under: fungal sp.
Lineage: Eukaryota; Fungi
Description: partial contains 5.8S ribosomal RNA, internal transcribed spacer 2, and large subunit ribosomal RNA
Source: RNAcentral